RNAcentral lists this ribosomal RNA (449 nucleotides) under uncultured bacterium. RNAcentral describes it as "partial 16S ribosomal RNA". It matches the Rfam family "Bacterial small subunit ribosomal RNA", at positions 29 to 523 of the family's 1533-position model. The record is from RNAcentral.
AAUGAACGCUGGCGGCAGGCCUAACACAUGCAAGUCGAACGAGGCAGCAAUGCCUAGUGGCGGACGGGUGAGUAACGCGUGGGAACGUGCCCCUUGGUACGGAAUAACCCUGGGAAACUGGGAGUAAUACCGUAUGUGGUCGAGAGACGAAAGAUUUAUCGCCAAGGGAUCGGCCCGCGUUGGAUUAGGUAGUUGGUGGGGUGAUGGCCUACCAAGCCGACGAUCCAUAGCUGGUUUGAGAGGAUGAUCAGCCACACUGGGACUGAGACACGGCCCAGACUCCUACGGGAGGCAGCAGUGGGGAAUCUUAGACAAUGGGGGAAACCCUGAUCUAGCCAUGCCGCGUGAUCGAUGAAGGCCUUAGGGUUGUAAAGAUCUUUCAGGUGGGAAGAUAAUGACGGUACCACCAGAAGAAGCCCCGGCUAACUCCGUGCCAGCAGCCGCCGUAA